GGUUCCUUGGUGUAAGAUGAGCACUCUGGAUUCUGAAUCCAGCGAUCAGAGUUCAAAUCUCGGUGGGACCU
RNAcentral lists this transfer RNA (71 nucleotides) under Mus musculus (house mouse). It matches the Rfam family "tRNA". From Rfam's summary of the family: Transfer RNA (tRNA) molecules are approximately 80 nucleotides in length. Lineage: Eukaryota; Metazoa; Chordata; Mammalia; Rodentia; Muridae. The record is from Rfam by way of RNAcentral.